ACGGAAGGCAGCAGUGAGGAAUAUUGGUCAAUGGGCGAGAGCCUGAACUAGCCAUGCCGCGUGAAGGAAGACGGCCCUAUGGGUUGUAAACUUCUUUUGCCGCAGAGUAAUAAGUGGGAUGCGUCCCAUGAUGAGAGUAUGCGGCGAAUAAGCAUCGGCUAACUCCGUGCCAGCAGCCGCGGUAAUACGGAGGAUGCAAGCGUUAUCCGGAUUUAUUGGGUUUAAAGGGUGCGUAGGCGGAGCAUUAAGUCAGCGGUGAAAUAUCCCGGCUCAACCGGGAGGCUGCCGUUGAUACUGAUGUUCUCGAGUCCGAACGGCGCCGGCGGAAUAUGUAAUGUAGCGGUGAAAUGCAUAGAUAUUACAUAGAACACCGAUCGCGAAGGCAGCUGGCGAGGACGGCACUGACGCUGAGGCACGAAGGUGCGGGGAUCAAACAGGAUUAGAUACCCUGGUA
RNAcentral lists this ribosomal RNA (454 nucleotides) under uncultured bacterium. RNAcentral describes it as "partial 16S ribosomal RNA". It matches the Rfam family "Bacterial small subunit ribosomal RNA", at positions 341 to 792 of the family's 1533-position model. The record is from RNAcentral.